RNAcentral lists this ribosomal RNA (800 nucleotides) under uncultured bacterium. RNAcentral describes it as "bacterial SSU rRNA". It matches the Rfam family "Bacterial small subunit ribosomal RNA", at positions 102 to 905 of the family's 1533-position model. The record is from RNAcentral.
ACGGGUGCGUAACGCGUAUGCAAUCUACCUUUUACAGAGGGAUAGCCCAGAGAAAUUUGGAUUAAUACCUCAUAGUAUGUGAGAAUCGCAUGGUUUUCACAUUAAAGUUCCAACGGUAAAAGAUGAGCAUGCGUCCCAUUAGCUAGAUGGUAAGGUAACGGCUUACCAUGGCAACGAUGGGUAGGGGUCCUGUGAGGGAGAUCCCCCACACUGGUACUGAGACACGGACCAGACUCCUACGGGAGGCAGCAGUGAGGAAUAUUGGACAAUGGGCGCAAGCCUGAUCCAGCCAUGCCGCGUGCAGGAUGACGGUCCUAUGGAUUGUAAACUGCUUUUGUACAGGAAGAAACACUCCCUCGUGAGGGAGCUUGACGGUACUGUAAGAAUAAGGAUCGGCUAACUCCGUGCCAGCAGCCGCGGUAAUACGGAGGAUCCAAGCGUUAUCCGGAAUCAUUGGGUUUAAAGGGUCCGUAGGCGGUUUAAUAAGUCAGUGGUGAAAGCCCAUCGCUCAACGGUGGAACGGCCAUUGAUACUGUUAAACUUGAAUUAUUAGGAAGUAACUAGAAUAUGUAGUGUAGCGGUGAAAUGCUUAGAGAUUACAUGGAAUACCAAUUGCGAAGGCAGGUUACUACUAAUGGAUUGACGCUGAUGGACGAAAGCGUGGGUAGCGAACAGGAUUAGAUACCCUGGUAGUCCACGCCGUAAACGAUGGAUACUAGCUGUUGGGAGCAAUCUCAGUGGCUAAGCGAAAGUGAUAAGUAUCCCACCUGGGGAGUACGUUCGCAAGAAUGAAACUCAAA